This 791-nucleotide ribosomal RNA is filed under the name Vreelandella titanicae. RNAcentral's name for it is "bacterial SSU rRNA". It matches the Rfam family "Bacterial small subunit ribosomal RNA", at positions 396 to 1178 of the family's 1533-position model. Lineage: Bacteria; Pseudomonadati; Pseudomonadota; Gammaproteobacteria; Oceanospirillales; Halomonadaceae. The record is from RNAcentral.
GCCGCGUGUGUGAAGAAGGCCCUCGGGUUGUAAAGCACUUUCAGCGAGGAAGAACGCCUAUCGGUUAAUACCCGGUAGGAAAGACAUCACUCGCAGAAGAAGCACCGGCUAACUCCGUGCCAGCAGCCGCGGUAAUACGGAGGGUGCAAGCGUUAAUCGGAAUUACUGGGCGUAAAGCGCGCGUAGGUGGCUUGAUAAGCCGGUUGUGAAAGCCCCGGGCUCAACCUGGGAACGGCAUCCGGAACUGUCAGGCUAGAGUGCAGGAGAGGAAGGUAGAAUUCCCGGUGUAGCGGUGAAAUGCGUAGAGAUCGGGAGGAAUACCAGUGGCGAAGGCGGCCUUCUGGACUGACACUGACACUGAGGUGCGAAAGCGUGGGUAGCAAACAGGAUUAGAUACCCUGGUAGUCCACGCCGUAAACGAUGUCGACCAGCCGUUGGGUGCCUAGAGCACUUUGUGGCGAAGUUAACGCGAUAAGUCGACCGCCUGGGGAGUACGGCCGCAAGGUUAAAACUCAAAUGAAUUGACGGGGGCCCGCACAAGCGGUGGAGCAUGUGGUUUAAUUCGAUGCAACGCGAAGAACCUUACCUACCCUUGACAUCUACAGAAGCCGGAAGAGAUUCUGGUGUGCCUUCGGGAACUGUAAGACAGGUGCUGCAUGGCUGUCGUCAGCUCGUGUUGUGAAAUGUUGGGUUAAGUCCCGUAACGAGCGCAACCCUUGUCCUUAUUUGCCAGCGAGUAAUGUCGGGAACUCUAAAGGAGACUGCCGGUGACAAACCGGAGGAAGGUGGGG